GUGCUCGCUUCGGCAGCACAUAUACUAAAACUGGAACGACAUAGAGAAGAUUAGUAUGGUCCCUGUGCAAGGAUGGCACGCAAAUUCAUGAAGCGUUCCAUAUUUUU
Small nuclear RNA from Chlorocebus sabaeus (green monkey), 107 nucleotides. The record is from Ensembl. NCBI's taxonomy places the organism in Eukaryota, Metazoa, Chordata, Mammalia, Primates, Cercopithecidae.